CGCAGGGAGGCGGCGCCUACGUACGUAUGGCGACGACCAGGGCACACGUACGCUUAUAUAAUGUCACGCCCGGAAAUUCACUAGUAAUUUCCGAACUUAUUAGUGCAUAAAAUCCUCGUCCAGAAAUCAGCCGAGGUAUACAAACUGACAAUUUAAUAUACAAAUCCAUCAUAAUAAUAACGUUACACACUUACAAAAGAAAAGAAAACAGCAGCGGAAUAACGGUCUAGCGAUAGCUUCAGCUCCACUCCCACAGGCAGCUCAACUGGGGUAUAAGUCAAACGUCUUCUCCUUCUGGAUCCUUUUUCUUCAACUGAGGUUGAUUGAUUAUUGCAAGAAUGAGUAUAAGCCAAACGUCUUCUCCUUCUGGAUCCUUUUUCUUCAACUGAGGUUGAUUGAUUAUUGCAAGAAUGAGCAUAUGACAUACUCAACAAGCUACACAGCAAAUAUGCAAGUGCACAAGGAUACCAAAGGAUGGCAUAAUAUAGGCUCAUUUGCAAAAGCAGCAUUUAGCAAAACAUUUAAGAGAAGUAAAACAGUGGAGUAAUUAAUCAGAAAUUUUAAUCAACACUGAACAACACACCCAUGCUACACAGGCCCAACCAUCCUGAACAACCAUACCCGGCUGUACAGAUCUAACUCCAAACCAGGAGCUAAGCAAAUUAUUACCAGGUAUAACAUCCAUAAUAAUUGUGAGAGGUGUGAGACUAAUCACGAAAAACAUUGCUCAACCCGCCCAUAACCGCGGGUACGGCUAUUCGAAUAGUUUUACUCUGGCCAGAGGUGUACCACUGUACCCACAAGACACAGCCUCAACAUCAUGUCUACCAUGCGUCGCGAUACUGGAAAGUACCCGAAUAGAGGCUGUAACAAUACCCUCUGCACAACACAACUCACCACAGUGCACCAUUCCUGGAUCAUAAUUACCCCCUUAUAAAACAGGGCAUGGACUCCCCAGCGACCCCCGUGGGCUUAUCUCCGCCACUUCUCAGUCUGGUGCUCCGCAAUGAACUAUGCUAUACAAAAGGUAAAGCCGUUGCCCACGCUGGCUUGUGGUUGGCACGGUUAAUGUUUCACAACAGUAGCUCGCGAACCGGUCCUUCAUUGCCAUGAGCACGACCUUCAAAACCAUGUGCUUACAACCCACCAUUAAUCAUAUUUUAAUUACCAAUUAAUUAUCAUAACACGAUUAACCAUCGUGAGCUACCAUUAAAUAUAACCAUAAAUAAUAAUGUAGUAUAUAUGAUUCAUCCCAUUAGUGAGCUAAUGUUUCUAAGCAUGGCUAAGCAAUUAUAUCUAACAUCUAGUUGAACCAAUAUAUAUAAAGCUCAACUAGUCAAAUUAUAAUAUCCCAAGGUAUCAAGGAAUAGAGUAAUCAAUGCAAACAGGCCAUAACAAAGGAAUAGAUUCACACCACCCAGUGACAUUCGAAAAUAAAUGCACAGUUGAAAUAAAUAGAGAAUUUAAAUAUAGGAUCAACAUGCUCAAAGGAUUGUGUUUAGGAUCUGUGUGACUUGCCUUGCAAUAAUCGGUCUUCAAUUAAUCUUCUUGAAUACUUCCGGCGCACUCACGAACCUUCGCAACGACGGAAACGACAGGCUAACACGCAAAACCAAGAAAAAGACUAAUAAAAACCAAAUAAACAGUAAAAAACAAGCAUAAACAGUACAUAUAAAGUAAACAAACAUGUAGAUCAUGAUUUUGAUUUUAGAUGAAUUUAGCAACUUGAACCACUCAAAACCGAGUUACGAUGAUUUAGUUAUGAAUUUCCGAAGAUUUAAUCUAUUAGAAAAACAGGAAAAAGAAAAACGAUGAUGACGUCAUGAUGACCUCAUCAAUGGCCGGACCAAGAUGGCGACCUCGCCGGAGAUUGGAUGGUCGGAUGCGACUUUGGAGGACAUGUACACGUAGAGGACGACGAGACGAACCCAACGGUACUCACCCUCGAACCAAACGACGAACAACGACGGCCGGCGACGAGGUCUAGCGGCGGCGCGGCUUCGGUCGACGGCGGCGACGGGGCUCCGGUGACCGGCG
This 2037-nucleotide long non-coding RNA is filed under the name Oryza sativa (Asian cultivated rice). Its description in RNAcentral is "long non-coding RNA (OSAT_LNC001512)". The record is from RNAcentral. Lineage: Eukaryota; Viridiplantae; Streptophyta; Magnoliopsida; Poales; Poaceae.